AACGAACGCUGGCGGCAGGCUUAACUCAUGCAAGUCGAACGCCCCGCAAGGGGAGUGGCAGACGGGUGAGUAACGCGUGGGAAUCUACCCAGAUCUUCGGAACAACACAGGGAAACUUGUGCUAAUACCGGAUACGCCCUACGGGGGAAAGAUUUAUCGGAUUUGGAUGAGCCCGCGUUGGAUUAGCUAGUUGGUGAGGUAAUGGCUCACCAAGGCGACGAUCCAUAGCUGGUCUGAGAGGAUGAUCAGCCACACUGGGACUGAGACACGGCCCAGACUCCUACGGGAGGCAGCAGUGGGGAAUAUUGGACAAUGGGCGAAAGCCUGAUCCAGCCAUGCCGCGUGAGUGAUGAAGGCCUUAGGGUUGUAAAGCUCUUUUAGUGGGGAAGAUAAUGACGGUACCCACAGAAAAAGCCCCGGCUAACUUCGUGCCAGCAGCCGCAGUAA
This 447-nucleotide ribosomal RNA is filed under the name uncultured bacterium. Its description in RNAcentral is "partial 16S ribosomal RNA". It matches the Rfam family "Bacterial small subunit ribosomal RNA", at positions 29 to 523 of the family's 1533-position model. The record is from RNAcentral.